RNAcentral lists this ribosomal RNA (441 nucleotides) under Pseudoalteromonas tetraodonis. RNAcentral describes it as "bacterial SSU rRNA". It matches the Rfam family "Bacterial small subunit ribosomal RNA", at positions 89 to 532 of the family's 1533-position model. Lineage: Bacteria; Pseudomonadati; Pseudomonadota; Gammaproteobacteria; Alteromonadales; Pseudoalteromonadaceae. The record is from RNAcentral.
UGACGAGCGGCGGACGGGUGAGUAAUGCUUGGGAACAUGCCUUGAGGUGGGGGACAACAGUUGGAAACGACUGCUAAUACCGCAUAAUGUCUACGGACCAAAGGGGGCUUCGGCUCUCGCCUUUAGAUUGGCCCAAGUGGGAUUAGCUAGUUGGUGAGGUAAUGGCUCACCAAGGCGACGAUCCCUAGCUGGUUUGAGAGGAUGAUCAGCCACACUGGGACUGAGACACGGCCCAGACUCCUACGGGAGGCAGCAGUGGGGAAUAUUGCACAAUGGGCGCAAGCCUGAUGCAGCCAUGCCGCGUGUGUGAAGAAGGCCUUCGGGUUGUAAAGCACUUUCAGUCAGGAGGAAAGGUUAGUAGUUAAUACCUGCUAGCUGUGACGUUACUGACAGAAGAAGCACCGGCUAACUCCGUGCCAGCAGCCGCGGUAAUACGGAGGG